CAAAAGCUUUCGACAUAAUUAUUUUUAUGUGUAAACCAGGUAAAGCUAAGUACUUAAAGAGCCAUUGAUUUCAAUGGAAAAGAUUUGCGUUCGGGAACCCACUCUCCCAUUCAAAUACAUGGGACCCUGAAGUGCUCAUCUUUGGCUAGAUCGUUUCCCUAAAUCGCUUCCUUUUUCUGAAAGAGAAUGAUUAUUACGUCAUUUCGCUCGAAUUAACUUGGCUUUGACAUUUUAAAAAAUAUUUUUGUUUUUGUUUUGUUUUCCCUUGUAUCUUUCAGUGCAGGAGCAGAUCAAAUUACACCUCUUUGAACCCCCACCCCCCAGUGAAAGGCAGAUUAGUGCAGUUAUUAUUUUUUAAAUGAACAAAUCUUUAGAAAAUUCCCGCAGGAUAUAGAUUCAAGUGAUUUAACUUGCACAGCUAAAUCAAGCUUUAAAGGAUGUCUGGAUUUCAGUGCUUUCCAUUAUGAGAUGCAGAACUGUUCCUCUUUGAUUGACAGCGCUAUUAAAAUUACCUAUGUGAAAUAAUAUUUUAUAAUACUCAUUCCUUAUUCAGCACUAAGUGGAGAGCCUGUCCCGAAAAUACUGAGCAAUGUCCGUGAGUGAGAUAAAAGUGGGUUAACAGAAGCUUUGGUCAGGGCAUUGGUGGCCUGAAAGUUCAGGAUCACUACCACGUUGAAAAGAGGCUCGUAGCUUCAGACGUGCUACUUUCUUUUAUCCUCCAGGAUCUGGGAGAAGAUCAGAGAACCUACCAACUCAGGAGGAGAGCGCGCAAAAUGUAAGACACGAAAAGACAAACAAACCCCGUAUUUGGCCUGAGUUGCUUAAUUUGUGUCUCUCCACUGUUUUGUAGGACUGGGGAUAAGGGGGGGGGGGGCAUCGACAGCAUGUUUCCGUGGACUGAUGAGAACGGUCACCUCCCUCUCCAAGGACAGGAAUCAAGUCUACUUUCAAGCACCUCACCAAACCCGCCUCCUCACAACACCCCUCCUUUUCCUGACGGAAAGAAACAAGGGGGAGAAUCUGGGAGGACACGGACGGCUAGCUGCCCUGCUCUAGGCGCUCCCUGGCCCGUUAAGAUCUUAUCAGAGCGAAGUGGGAGGUGGGAACUGCCGAAGAUCUGCUUAGAGAACCGUGAAGAGCCAGCCCCACGGCCUUGCAGGCCGCCACGCUUGUACAAUGGGGCUCUAGGAGAUCUCGCUGGAGUGUGUGUGCACGUCGGAUAGUGGGAAGAGAAAUGGGGACAAAAUCAUAGGCCUGCCCGGAACCUGUGUGAAUAGAUUCCCUUGGCUACAUUUAGGCUGUCAUGACGGGGAGGCGUUUCCUGUAAGUCUCAUUGACCUCUAUGGAAUUUACUCCUGAAUAGAGACGCGAUAAGUCUGCAGUGGCGGGGAUUUGAUGAACAUUUUUAUAUAACCUUGUGAACUUCCUCUUCCUUACCAUCUUUCCUCUUUCAGUAAAUGCCCCCCCCCGCGGUCACCUUUGCCCAUCGACACCUACGAAUCUCCUUUCCCUUAAUUUAGGAUCUCUUCCAUAAGUAGAGACCCCUUCGUAGUUUGCUUUGAGAGAGCUCGGGCAUGCCACGAUAAUAUUCCUAACUAUCCGUCACAUUGAAGCGAACGAGGUCGCCAUUCGACGCUGCUCUCCAGCUCUCAAGGACCCUUUAGUUGCAAUUCAUUUGUGGACGGUGGAUUGUGGCCACCGUCUUUUCCGUUCGGGCUCGGCUGCCUCUGAGGUGCCCCUCGACACCCGCUUCUUCAGCGCCUGUCUUUUUCAUUCAUUUCUCCCUUCGGUCUGCAAGAUCUUCUCCUUUCGCUUUAGUUUGCUCAGUGACGGCUUUCUCCCGGUUCUUGAGCUUCAACCUCUCUCCCCCCCCCCCCCAGUCCUCCCGUGCUCAUUUAGAUCACC
Long non-coding RNA from Pogona vitticeps (central bearded dragon), 1905 nucleotides. Lineage: Eukaryota; Metazoa; Chordata; Lepidosauria; Squamata; Agamidae. The record is from Ensembl.